This 301-nucleotide ribosomal RNA is filed under the name uncultured bacterium. RNAcentral's name for it is "partial 16S ribosomal RNA". It matches the Rfam family "Bacterial small subunit ribosomal RNA", at positions 509 to 807 of the family's 1533-position model. The record is from RNAcentral.
CAGCAGCCGCGGUAACACGGAGGGAGCUAGCGUUGUUCGGAAUUACUGGGCGUAAAGCGCGCGUAGGCGGUUACUCAAGUCAGAGGUGAAAGCCCGGGGCUCAACCCCGGAACUGCCUUUGAAACUAGGUGACUAGAAUCUUGGAGAGGUCAGUGGAAUUCCGAGUGUAGAGGUGAAAUUCGUAGAUAUUCGGAAGAACACCAGUGGCGAAGGCGACUGACUGGACAAGUAUUGACGCUGAGGUGCGAAAGCGUGGGGAGCAAACAGGAUUAGAUACCCGGGUAGUCCCUGUCUCUUAUAC